Molecule: non-coding RNA, 81 nt
Organism: Podarcis lilfordi (Lilford's wall lizard)
Lineage: Eukaryota; Metazoa; Chordata; Lepidosauria; Squamata; Lacertidae
Source: the annotation of a GenBank genome assembly
GGAGCUGGAUAGCUCGGUGGGUUAAAGCAUGAUGCUGACAACGCCAGGGUUGCAGGUUCGAUCCCGGAAGGGACAGCUGCA